Molecule: ribosomal RNA, 237 nt
Filed under: uncultured bacterium
Lineage: Bacteria
Description: partial 16S ribosomal RNA
Rfam family: Bacterial small subunit ribosomal RNA
Source: RNAcentral
UGCGUAGUUAAUGCACCCAUCAGACAAGGAUAAUUCCGGGAAACUGGUUGUAAUACUUGAUGAGACCCCAGGCACCACGGUGCUGGUGGUCAAAGGGGCGGGACCUUCCGAGGCCGCCCGCUGAUGGCGCGGACUACGUCUGAUUAGUUUGUUGGUGGGGUAACGGCCUACCAAGACGGUGAUCAGUAGCCGGCCUGAGAGGGUGUUCGGCCACACUGGGACUGAGACACUGCCCAG